Molecule: ribosomal RNA, 495 nt
Filed under: uncultured bacterium
Lineage: Bacteria
Description: partial 16S ribosomal RNA
Rfam family: Bacterial small subunit ribosomal RNA
Source: RNAcentral
GAUGAACGCUGGCGGCGUGCCUAAUACAUGCAAGUAGAACGCUGAAGGAGGAGCUUGCUCUUCUGGAUGAGUUGCGAACGGGUGAGUAACGCGUAGGUAACCUGCCUGGUAGCGGGGGAUAACUAUUGGAAACGAUAGCUAAUACCGCAUGACAACAGUUAUUGCAUGAUAACUGUUUAAAAGGGGCAACUGCUCCACUACCAGAUGGACCUGCGUUGUAUUAGCUAGUUGGUGAGGUAACGGCUCACCAAGGCGACGAUACAUAGCCGACCGGAGAGGGUGAUCGGCCACACUGGGACUGAGACACGGCCCAGACUCCUACGGGAGGCGGCAGUAGGGAAUCUUCGGCAAUAGACGGAAGUCUGACCGAGCAACGCCGCGGGAGUGAAGAAGGGUUUCGGAUCGUAAAGCUCGGUUGUAAGAGAAGAACGAGUGUGAGAGUGGAAAGUUCACACUGUGACGGUAGCUUACCAGAAAGGGACGGCUAACUACGUG